CCUAUCCUGGAUUACUUGAACC
This 22-nucleotide microRNA is filed under the name Oreochromis niloticus (Nile tilapia). RNAcentral's name for it is "oni-miR-26d". Its record names the gene oni-miR-26d. Lineage: Eukaryota; Metazoa; Chordata; Actinopteri; Cichliformes; Cichlidae. The record is from miRBase by way of RNAcentral.